AGUGAACGCUGGCGGUAGGCCUAACACAUGCAAGUCGAACGGCAGCACAGUAAGAGCUUGCUCUUACGGGUGGCGAGUGGCGGACGGGUGAGGAAUACAUCGGAAUCUACUUUUUCGUGGGGGGUAACGUAGGGAAACUUACGCUAAUACCGCAUACGACCUACGGGUGAAAGCAGGGGAUCUUCGGACCUUGCGCGAUUGAAUGAGCCGAUGUCGGAUUAGCUAGUUGGCGGGGUAAAGGCCCACCAAGGCGACGAUCCGUAGCUGGUCUGAGAGGAUGAUCAGCCACACUGGAACUGAGACACGGUCCAGACUCCUACGGGAGGCAGCAGUGGGGAAUAUUGGACAAUGGGCGCAAGCCUGAUCCAGCCAUACCACGUGGGUGAAGAAGGCCUUCGGGUUGUAAAGCCCUUUUGUUGGGAAAGAAAAGCAGCAGGUUAAUACCCCGCUGUUCUGACGGUACCCAAAGAAUAAGCACCGGCUAACUUCGUG
This 492-nucleotide ribosomal RNA is filed under the name uncultured bacterium. RNAcentral describes it as "partial 16S ribosomal RNA". It matches the Rfam family "Bacterial small subunit ribosomal RNA", at positions 29 to 507 of the family's 1533-position model. The record is from RNAcentral.